GCCGGGCGUCGUAGCGCGCGCCUGUAAUCCCAGCUACUCAGGAGGCUGAGGCAGGAGAAUCGCUUGAACCCGGGAGGCGGAGGUUGCAGUGAGCGAAGAUCGCGCCACUGCACUCCAGCCUGGGCGACAGAGCGAGACUCCGUCUCAA
This 148-nucleotide non-coding RNA is filed under the name Gorilla gorilla gorilla (western lowland gorilla). Lineage: Eukaryota; Metazoa; Chordata; Mammalia; Primates; Hominidae. The record is from Rfam by way of RNAcentral.